Molecule: ribosomal RNA, 257 nt
Filed under: uncultured bacterium
Lineage: Bacteria
Description: partial 16S ribosomal RNA
Rfam family: Bacterial small subunit ribosomal RNA
Source: RNAcentral
GACGUAGGGCGCGAGCGUUGUCCGGAUUUAUUGGGCGUAAAGAGCUCGUAGGCGGCUUGUCGCGUCGACUGUGAAAUCCCGCGGCUCAACUGCGGGUCUGCAGUCGAUACGGGCAGGCUAGAGUUCGGUAGGGGAGACUGGAAUUCCUGGUGGUAGCGGUGAAAUGCGCAGAUAUCAAGGAGGAACACCGGUGGCGAAGGCGGGUCUCUGGGCCGUAACUGACCGCUGAGGAGCGAAAGCGUGGGGAGCGAACAGGA